Molecule: ribosomal RNA, 771 nt
Filed under: Triticum aestivum (bread wheat)
Lineage: Eukaryota; Viridiplantae; Streptophyta; Magnoliopsida; Poales; Poaceae
Description: partial small subunit ribosomal RNA
Source: RNAcentral
AUGGUGCGUAGCAAUACAAGUCGAGGUAGUAUAGGAGGUACAGGCGGAGGCAAGCGAUUUCAAUAUGGUCCAAGCAGCCUCGCGCCUCUUCCGCAGAGGCCUUACGACAAGUCCGAGGAGGAAAAUGCAGCCAUAUCGAAGGCCGAGGUGGAAGCCCAUUUUGCACCGAAACCGCCACCGCCGCCAAGGGAGAAAGUGCCUGAGGAAAAGAUUGACCAUUUCAUUCGUAUGGCUAGACCACCAGCUCCCAAGCCUGUUGACACAGACUAUGAGCGCCACCUCAGGAAGUUAAAUCGAGCACGUCUACAGAAAGAGGCGAGCUCGAGCAAAUCAGCUGUCAAAAAAUGUGGUAAAACCGUUCGCCAGCUGGGAGAACAGGUGGCGCAAUCAAUCCCCCCGCUUGUUAUGCCAACAACACAUGAGAGUACACGCGCCCAAUAUUAUUGUGGGCAAACCGUUAACGUUUCCCAGCUGGGCGAUGUGGUAAUAACCAAGAAGCAUAUAAGGCAGGAUGAAAUCCUCAAGAUCACUGUUGAACAACUCCUCGAGAUCGAGCCCAUGUCUCCGCUUAGAGAGGAGGAAAUAAAACGGAAAUAUGUCCGAGGCCAACCUUUGGUCGAGCCAGACGAGGUCAAGAAGCUCCCAACGAGAAUGUAUGAAUUGCAUCAAUGGUACAUGAACAUUACCAAGAUUUCCAAUCGAGAGUCCCUCAUGGUGAAUGUCAAGAAGGAUCAUUACUACCAUGAGAAAGCUGUGUCCGUUGAGUAUUCA